AAACGACUCUCGGCAACGGAUAUUUCGGCUCUUGCAUCGAUGAAGAACGUAGCGAAAUGCGAUACUUGGUGUGAAUUGCAGAAUCCCGUGAACCAUCGAGUCUUUGAACGCAAGUUGCGCCCGAAGCCAUUAGGCCGAGGGCACGCCUGCCUGGGUGUCACAC
This 163-nucleotide ribosomal RNA is filed under the name Vigna trilobata. Its description in RNAcentral is "partial 5.8S ribosomal RNA". It matches the Rfam family "5.8S ribosomal RNA". Rfam says of the family: 5.8S ribosomal RNA (5.8S rRNA) is a component of the large subunit of the eukaryotic ribosome. It is transcribed by RNA polymerase I as part of the 45S precursor that also contains 18S and 28S rRNA. Lineage: Eukaryota; Viridiplantae; Streptophyta; Magnoliopsida; Fabales; Fabaceae. The record is from RNAcentral.